UGGUUUCUCCCUAUGAAUGGAUUGGAUUGAAUAAGGCAGGGGACUUAGGGGAGAUCAUGAUAUUUCAACUCCCCAGUUCAGAGGCUUCUCGUGCACACUCGACUCUCCCUCUGCCUGACUCGUCCUCUCCUCUCUCAGACCCAGCUCCGUCCACCGUUCAUCCUUCGUCGUCCUGACUGGCUGACGCCUCUCGUCCAUCUCUCAGAUUCCCUGAACUCCGCUUCUCUUCUCCGACCACCAGGCACAACCAUCAUCUCCUCUCAAGUUUCAACUCCCGACUCCGACUACCUCCAUCAUCUCUUCUCUGUCCCGAUUCCGACCACCACUAACCAUCAUCACCUCUCAACUGAAGUCGAUAGCUCGAACCCUCCACUACCGAGUAAGAACACACUUAGGUGGAUACUUAUUGAGAAGUAAAGAAUGGAUGAGACCAUGAAGCAAUUCCAAAAAAGCUUAAUUGAACUCGAGACUGAAGCUGAGCAUCUCCUCCUAGCUCGGAACCAGAUGGUUGAAAAUGACAGGGUGAGGAAUGGGAACAGAGAAGCACUUACAUCUCUGAGGAAGAUAGCUCAGACAACCAAAACUAGUGUUCCAUCUCCUUUUGAAUCAAUAAUGAAGGAGAUUGGGGGGCCUCAAUCAAGACCUCUGGUGAAGGAGGUAUGCCCUACCUGUGGCAACCAUGAUUCAAAUGAGCGCACUUGGAUGAUGUUCCCGGGAACUGAUGUCUUUGCAAGGAUUCCAUUUCAUGCUGCCCAUACCAUCUUGGAGACAGAACAAGAGCAACUUGAUUUAGACUCUAGAAGGUUGCAAGGCAUUGUGAAGGAGAAAUCCCUUGUGAUUUCGGACAAAGGUGCCCUUGCUGACAAGAUCUGUCCGGGUGUGCUGAAGUCCUUGGUAACCCUGUCAGACAAACCAAAGGAUUGAUUGGAAUGGAAAAGCUAGCAAUUGUCACUACUUGCGGAAUAGGAAAAGUGUGAUGUAUCUUAUUUAGAUUUCACCUCCCUCUUACUUGUGUUAUAAAAAGUUGUGAUAUGUGUGGUGUAAGCAAACUGUGUUUCUCUCGCUGCGGCGGAGGACAAGCGUGCUUGUCUUGGGAAGGAGAGGAACUGAACCGUGGAUCACUUUGCAGGCAGAGAGGCACAAGAAAUGCUUGAGAAGGCAUUCCACUAGAGCAGUUCACCGUGGGUUAAUCCCCUAGGGGAUUGGCUCUUUAAUCCCCAAGGGUAACAAUUUAGUACGCAUGGCAUUUAAUGUAAAGUAUAAUUGAUCAGAUAUGAUUCAAGAUGAUAAUCUAGAAGGAUUAUACUGUUAUUUCUUUUGUUACUUGAUUUUAUGGCUUUAGGUAACCAUUUAUAUAGGAGAAGAAAAUUAAUAUCAUUUUUUUCUUCUUUUUUUUUUUUGCCUUGUAUUUAGGAAACUGUGUUUGUGUUGCUUUGUUAUUGUCUUUGAGAGGAAGAGAGUUUUGUUUUUUAAAGAUAAUUUAACUUUGUACUUUGUAGUUCGAUAUAGAUAGAUGUUUGAAUCUGUACUAGCAACCAUUUGGACAGAAUUGAAAACUUAUUAUAAUUGUAUCAAUGUAUAUUUUCAAGAAACCAUA
Non-coding RNA from Malus domestica (apple), 1597 nucleotides. The record is from RefSeq and is a predicted model, not a curated record. Lineage: Eukaryota; Viridiplantae; Streptophyta; Magnoliopsida; Rosales; Rosaceae.